AGCGAACGCUGGCGGCAGGCUUAGCACAUGCAAGUCGAACGCUCACCUUCGGGUGGGAGUGGCAGACGGGUGAGUAACACGUGGGAACGUGCCCUUCAGUUCGGAACAACUCAGGGAAACUUGAGCUAAUACCGGAUACGCCCUUUGGGGGAAAGAUUUAUCGCUGAAGGAUCGGCCCGCGUCUGAUUAGCUAGUUGGUGAGGUAAUGGCUCACCAAGGCGACGAUCAGUAGCUGGUCUGAGAGGAUGAUCAGCCACACUGGGACUGAGACACGGCCCAGACUCCUACGGGAGGCAGCAGUGGGGGAAUAUUGGACAAUGGGCGCAAGCCUGAUCCAGCCAUGCCGCGUGAGUGAUGAAGGCCUUAGGGUUGUAAAGCUCUUUCGUCCGGGACGAUAAUGACGGUACCGGAAGAAGAAGCCCCGGCUAACUUCGUGCCAGCCGCCGCGGUAAUU
Molecule: ribosomal RNA, 454 nt
Filed under: uncultured bacterium
Lineage: Bacteria
Description: bacterial SSU rRNA
Rfam family: Bacterial small subunit ribosomal RNA
Source: RNAcentral